Molecule: transfer RNA, 71 nt
Filed under: Loxodonta africana (African savanna elephant)
Lineage: Eukaryota; Metazoa; Chordata; Mammalia; Proboscidea; Elephantidae
Rfam family: tRNA
About the family: Transfer RNA (tRNA) molecules are approximately 80 nucleotides in length. Their secondary structure includes four short double-helical elements and three loops (D, anti-codon, and T loops).
Source: Rfam by way of RNAcentral
GCCCUGAUGGCACAACAGUUAAGCGUUUGGCUGCUAACCAAAACGGUGGUGGUUUGAAUCCACCCAGAGUC